AUUAUAAAUUAUAAAUUCACUUAAUAUAUCCCUUGGAUAUGGCAAGGAGUCUCUACCGGAAGCCGUAAAUUUCCGACUAUUAGUGGAUUAUUGCAUAUG
Molecule: non-coding RNA, 99 nt
Filed under: Clostridium colicanis DSM 13634
Lineage: Bacteria; Bacillati; Bacillota; Clostridia; Eubacteriales; Clostridiaceae
Description: Purine riboswitch aptamer
Rfam family: Purine riboswitch aptamer
About the family: Riboswitches are metabolite binding domains within certain messenger RNAs that serve as precision sensors for their corresponding targets. Allosteric rearrangement of mRNA structure is mediated by ligand binding, and this results in modulation of gene expression.
Source: Rfam by way of RNAcentral